GCCAGUGUGGCGUAGUGGUUUGAGCACUGAACUAUGACUCUGGAGACCAGAGUUCAAAUCCCAGAUCAGCCA
This 72-nucleotide transfer RNA is filed under the name Phrynosoma platyrhinos (Desert horned lizard). RNAcentral's name for it is "tRNA-OTHER". Lineage: Eukaryota; Metazoa; Chordata; Lepidosauria; Squamata; Phrynosomatidae. The record is from RNAcentral.